RNAcentral lists this ribosomal RNA (406 nucleotides) under uncultured bacterium. RNAcentral's name for it is "partial 16S ribosomal RNA". It matches the Rfam family "Bacterial small subunit ribosomal RNA", at positions 30 to 526 of the family's 1533-position model. The record is from RNAcentral.
AUUGAACGCUGGCGGCAGGCCUAAUACAUGCAAGUCGAACGAGUGGCGGAGGGGUGAGUAAUGUCUGGGAAACUGCCUGAUGGAGGGGGAUGACUACUGGAAACGGUAGCUAAUACCGCAUACCAUCAGAUGUGCUCAGAGUGGAGUAGCUUGUUGGUGGGGUAACGGCUCACCAAGGCGACGAUCCCUAGCUGGUCUGAGAGGGUGACCGGCCACACUGGGACUGAGACACGGUCCAGACUCCUACGGGAGGCAGCAGUAGGGAAUAUUGGGCAAUGGACGCAAGCCUGAUCCAGCAAUGCCGCGUGUGUGAAGAAGGCCUUCGGGUUGUAAAGUACUUUCGGCAGAGAGGCGGUACCCGCAGAAGAAGCACCGGCUAACUCCGUGCCAGCAGCCGCGGUAAUUC